This 468-nucleotide ribosomal RNA is filed under the name uncultured bacterium. Its description in RNAcentral is "bacterial SSU rRNA". It matches the Rfam family "Bacterial small subunit ribosomal RNA", at positions 33 to 507 of the family's 1533-position model. The record is from RNAcentral.
ACGCUGGCGGCGUGCCUAAUACAUGCAAGUAGAACGCUGAAGAAAGGAGCUUGCUUCUUUUUGGAUGAGUUGCGAACGGGUGAGUAACGCGUAGGUAACCUGCCUUGUAGCGGGGGAUAACUAUUGGAAACGAUAGCUAAUACCGCAUAACAGCUUUUGACACAUGUUAGAAGCUUGAAAGAUGCAAUUGCAUCACUACGAGAUGGACCUGCGUUGUAUUAGCUAGUAGGUAGGGUAACGGCCUACCUAGGCGACGAUACAUAGCCGACCUGAGAGGGUGAUCGGCCACACUGGGACUGAGACACGGCCCAGACUCCUACGGGAGGCAGCAGUAGGGAAUCUUCGGCAAUGGGGGCAACCCUGACCGAGCAACGCCGCGUGAGUGAAGACGGUUUUCGGAUUGUAAACUCCUGUUCUUAGUGAAGAAUAAUGACGGUAGCUAAGGAGCAAGCCACGGCUAACUACGUG